Molecule: ribosomal RNA, 465 nt
Filed under: uncultured bacterium
Lineage: Bacteria
Description: partial 16S ribosomal RNA
Rfam family: Bacterial small subunit ribosomal RNA
Source: RNAcentral
CUACGGGGCGCUGCAGUGGGGAAUAUUGCACAAUGGGCGCAAGCCCGAUGCAGCCAUGCCGCGUGUAUGAAGAAGGCCUUCGGGUUGUAAAGUACUUUCAGCGGGGAGGAAGGGAGUAAAGUUAAUACCUUUGCUCAUUGACGUUACCCGCAGAAGAAGCACCGGCUAACUCCGUGCCAGCAGCCGCGGUAAUACGGGAGGGUGCAAGCGUUAAUCGGAAUUACUGGGCGUAAAGCGCACGCAGGCGGUUUGUUAAGUCAGAUGUGAAAUCCCCGGGCUCAACCUGGGAACUGCAUCUGAUACUGGCAAGCUUGAGUCUCGUAGAGGGGGGUAGAAUUCCAGGUGUAGCGGUGAAAUGCGUAGAGAUCUGGAGGAAUACCGGUGGCGAAGGCGGCCCCCUGGACGAAGACUGACGCUCAGGUGCGAAAGCGUGGGGAGCAAACAGGAUUAGAUACCCCUGUAGUC